Molecule: ribosomal RNA, 763 nt
Filed under: uncultured Streptococcus sp.
Lineage: Bacteria; Bacillati; Bacillota; Bacilli; Lactobacillales; Streptococcaceae
Description: bacterial SSU rRNA
Rfam family: Bacterial small subunit ribosomal RNA
Source: RNAcentral
GACGAACGCUGGCGGCGUGCCUAAUACAUGCAAGUAGAACGCUGAAGGAGGAGCUUGCUCUUCUGGAUGAGUUGCGAACGGGUGAGUAACGCGUAGGUGACCUGCCUGGUAGCGGGGGAUAACUAUUGGAAACGAUAGCUAAUACCGCAUAACAGUAGAUAUUGCAUGAUAUCUGCUUGAAAGGUGCAAUUGCAUCACUACCAGAUGGACCUGCGUUGUAUUAGCUAGUUGGUGGGGUAACGGCUCACCAAGGCGACGAUACAUAGCCGACCUGAGAGGGUGAUCGGCCACACUGGGACUGAGACACGGCCCAGACUCCUACGGGAGGCAGCAGUAGGGAAUCUUCGGCAAUGGACGGAAGUCUGACCGAGCAACGCCGCGUGAGUGAAGAAGGUUUUCGGAUCGUAAAGCUCUGUUGUAAGAGAAGAACGAGUGUGAGAGUGGAAAGUUCACACUGUGACGGUAUCUUACCAGAAAGGGACGGCUAACUACGUGCCAGCAGCCGCGGUAAUACGUAGGUCCCGAGCGUUGUCCGGAUUUAUUGGGCGUAAAGCGAGCGCAGGCGGUUAGAUAAGUCUGAAGUUAAAGGCUGUGGCUUAACCAUAGUACGCUUUGGAAACUGUUUAACUUGAGUGCAAGAGGGGAGAGUGGAAUUCCAUGUGUAGCGGUGAAAUGCGUAGAUAUAUGGAGGAACACCGGUGGCGAAAGCGGCUCUCUGGCUUGUAACUGACGCUGAGGCUCGAAAGCGUGGGGAGCAAACAGG